CCUGGCUCAGGACGAACGCUGGCGGCGCGCCUAACACAUGCAAGUCGAACGAGCGAGAGAGAGCUUGCUUUCUCGAGCGAGUGGCGAACGGGUGAGUAACGCGUGAGGAACCUGCCUCAAAGAGGGGGACAACAGUUGGAAACGACUGCUAAUACCGCAUAAGCCCGCGACCCGGCAUCGGGUAGAGGGAAAAGGAGCGAUCCGCUUUGAGAUGGCCUCGCGUCCGAUUAGCUAGUUGGUGAGGUAACGGCCCACCAAGGCGACGAUCGGUAGCCGGACUGAGAGGUUGAACGGCCACAUUGGGACUGAGACACGGCCCAGACUCCUACGGGAGGCAGCAGUGGGGAAUAUUGCACAAUGGGGGAAACCCUGAUGCAGCGACGCCGCGUGGAGGAAGAAGGUCUUCGGAUUGUAAACUCCUGUUGUUGAGGAAGAUAAUGACGGUACUCAACAAGGAAGUGACGGCUAACUACGUGCCAGCAGCCGCGGUAAAACGUAGGUCACAAGCGUUGUCCGGAAUUACUGGGUGUAAAGGGAGCGCAGGCGGGAAGACAAGUUGGAAGUGAAAUCCAUGGGCUCAACCCAUGAACUGCUUUCAAAACUGUUUUUCUUGAGUAGUGCAGAGGUAGGCGGAAUUCCCGGUGUAGCGGUGGAAUGCGUAGAUAUCGGGAGGAACACCAGUGGCGAAGGCGGCCUACUGGGCACCAACUGACGCUGAGGCUCGAAAGUGUGGGUAGCAAACAGGAUUAGAUACCCUGGUAGUCCACACUGUAAACGAUGAUUACUAGGUGUUGGAGGAUUGACCCCUUCAGUGCCGCAGUUAACACAAUAAGUAAUCCACCUGGGGAGUACGACCGCAAGGUUGAAACUCAAAGGAAUUGACGGGGGCCCGCACAAGCAGUGGAGUAUGUGGUUUAAUUCGACGCAACGCGAAGAACCUUACCAAGUCUUGACAUCCUGCGACGCACAUAGAAAUAUGUGUUUCCUUCGGGACGCAGAGACAGGUGGUGCAUGGUUGUCGUCAGCUCGUGUCGUGAGAUGUUGGGUUAAGUCCCGCAACGAGCGCAACCCUUAUGGUCAGUUACUACGCAAGAGGACUCUGGCCAGACUGCCGUUGACAAAACGGAGGAAGGUGGGGAUGACGUCAAAUCAUCAUGCCCUUUAUGACUUGGGCUACACACGUACUACAAUGGCGUUAAACAAAGAGAAGCAAGACCGCGAGGUGGAGCAAAACUCAGAAACAACGUCCCAGUUCGGACUGCAGGCUGCAACUCACCUGCACGAAGUCGGAAUUGCUAGUAAUCGCAGAUCAGCAUGCUGCGGUGAAUACGUUCCCGGGCCUUGUACACACCGCCC
This 1356-nucleotide ribosomal RNA is filed under the name uncultured bacterium. RNAcentral's name for it is "bacterial SSU rRNA". It matches the Rfam family "Bacterial small subunit ribosomal RNA", at positions 18 to 1395 of the family's 1533-position model. The record is from RNAcentral.